This 600-nucleotide long non-coding RNA is filed under the name Vigna radiata. Its description in RNAcentral is "long non-coding RNA (VRAD_LNC017330)". Lineage: Eukaryota; Viridiplantae; Streptophyta; Magnoliopsida; Fabales; Fabaceae. The record is from RNAcentral.
UAAUCUUUUGAAACUCUCUUUUAUUGAAACUCUUGUUUAUUUAUAUGAUUCUUCAUAUGCUUUGAUUAUCAAUUGUUGGGUUCUCAUCUGCGCUUAAAGCUUUUAUCAUUUAACUCAUUCGAUAAUUGUUGUUUGUCUCUAUUGAUACGGGAACGUACAAUACUGUCAUGAACUGGUGAGAAAUUCCUUGAUUAAUGAAAUACCACCUAGGGAUAGGGAGGUAGGACGAUCAAUUGUUUUUGCUUCUGUUCGGUAAUGCAUUGCUAAUUGCUAGGGGAGGCUAGGGAUAGCAAGCCGGUAAUUAGUAAUAGGCUCUUUUCGUCGAGGGAUCGGGUUAAGGGUAGGCCAAGAAAGUUUGCAUAACAAUUAGAUAAUCAAGCACAUUAAGCAAGAGGAGUAGAUAAGAGGGAGCGGAUAAGAUGAAAUUGUCAACCCCCAACAACUCCAUUCAUCCAUAGUCUUUUUCGUCAAUUGAAUCAAACACAUUACAUGUUUAUUUUCUGUUUUUGCAUUCCAAACAAUUAAUUUUUCUCUACAAGUCAUACAAUUUCAAUUCAUACGAACGAUAAGGCCUUUCGAGUCUCUUGGGAAGAACGAUAU